UCAAAGACUUCCUUUGACGGGGACAUUUGC
Molecule: non-coding RNA, 30 nt
Filed under: Rattus norvegicus (Norway rat)
Lineage: Eukaryota; Metazoa; Chordata; Mammalia; Rodentia; Muridae
Source: RNAcentral